This 92-nucleotide transfer RNA is filed under the name Oenococcus oeni. Its description in RNAcentral is "tRNA-Ser". It matches the Rfam family "tRNA". From Rfam's summary of the family: Transfer RNA (tRNA) molecules are approximately 80 nucleotides in length. Their secondary structure includes four short double-helical elements and three loops (D, anti-codon, and T loops). Lineage: Bacteria; Bacillati; Bacillota; Bacilli; Lactobacillales; Lactobacillaceae. RNAcentral also lists the same sequence under 38 other names. The record is from RNAcentral.
GGAGACAUGGCAGAGUGGUAAUGCAGCGGACUCGAAAUCCGCCGAACCGAUGUAGAAUCGGCGCCGGGGUUCGAAUCCCCGUGUCUCCUUCA